This 414-nucleotide long non-coding RNA is filed under the name Androctonus crassicauda. The record is from RNAcentral. Lineage: Eukaryota; Metazoa; Arthropoda; Arachnida; Scorpiones; Buthidae.
UUGUUUAUUGGGGUGAACGUUACAGCUUUUAAGGCUUUCAGGUAGGGGGAGUGACCUUUGUGAAAUAUGAAGGAGGGGGAGAUGAGGGUAUAGGCAGUGAUAGCUGGAGGCAAAGAAGUCAGGCGAUGAGGUCAGGUGGUGGAGACACUGGGUGUUGACUGAGGAGAUCACUGGUAUCUGCUCGAGCUGAGGCAUCCCUUGAAUGUUAUACUCCUGUGCCGUAAAUUCAUGGGAGAGGCUUUAUCCAACAAUCUUAAGACUUAAUGCAGUCAUCUUAGGGGUGAGUCUCUGUGGCCAAACAGCCCAGAGUCACUUUGAACCAUGCAGUCAAAAAGCGGCUAGGCCCAAAUCCAAUAUGGCUCCGUGCACACGUCCUCAGGUUCGCAGCUUAUUUGGGAGACAGAGCACCAGGAC